Long non-coding RNA from Panthera uncia (snow leopard), 6666 nucleotides. RefSeq lists it as uncharacterized. Lineage: Eukaryota; Metazoa; Chordata; Mammalia; Carnivora; Felidae. The transcript has 5 exons. The record is from RefSeq and is a predicted model, not a curated record.
GGGUCUGUGGGCUCUCAAACCGGGGAGGACUCUCCUCUGAGAUGGCGUCUUGGGGGAGUGGCCCGACCCCAUAUGUUGCAGCAAAUACUCGGUGCCGGGAAGAGACAAACAAGCCAGGCGCACUCGGGGAAUCAGAAAAACAACAACAACAACAACAACAACAACAGAAAACUGUGUGUUGGCCACUGGUGUGCCCUCCCAGCGGAGUCACCUCCAAAGGCUGAGCCCCCGAACCUUGGCAUCGGCCUCCUUUUAUGGCUGGGAUGGUAGGGGGUUGAGAGACCCGAGAAAAAGGGGAGGGAGCCUUAUCACCGGUACUCCGGCCAGGUGGUGGACACAGGAGGCAAACGAGAUUACAGAAGCCAAAAGAAUGCAUGGAGAGGAUCUAGCCUCGGCCAUCUGGCCCCUUCUAUCUCGUUUCUACGAGCUUUUCUUCUCACCCCCAGGCGGCAGGGUGUGGGUCGGAGGGCCCUGGGUUCCUCGCCCCGCGCCUGCACAGGAAACGCUUUGGGUGGGGAGGAGGCGUGGCGGUGACCGCCUGGCGCCCCUCAGUGAGUGGGGAGAACCCCGUGGGGGUGUAAAUGCACCUGCCUACCCUCGCUUCCAGUGUUGCUUCCAGGUGCGUCAGGAGGGACAGGUGGGUGAGAGAGCUUGUCACGGUUGAACUCGGUCAACAAAUCGCGGGUUGAGCUCCUGUUGCGUGCUCUUCUGCCAGGGACCUACUUUUCUCUCUUUUGCUGUCCAUAACUACAUAGAGGGUGAAAAAUAACGGAGAAGAGUCAAUCCCUCUGAUUCCAGAAAGCUACUGGAGGAUGUGCUCCAACAAAACAUGGGACUAAAUCAAAGAGAAAGACAUGGGAUCUGGAAAAGAGGAUCAAGAGAAAAGGAAGAUUAUAAAUUACAUUUGAGCAGAGACCUAGUCUGCACCUCCUACUCAGGGCCUGGGACUGUAAUUCUCAUAUAAUGGGGAAAGAGAGGCUUAUAGAAAUAAGAUGUGAUGUGUUCGACACACAGCUCCUGAGGAAAAGUCAGACUCAGAAUCUAAAUCUCCUUGACCUCCAAGUCUGUGCUCCUAACCAUGUUGUCAUGUGACUUUAUCUUCAUCUAUAGAAAGGAACAACAGCAACAACAACAAAAACCCAAUGCAAACAGUGUGGAAAGCGAUCCUUAUUUCAUGAAGAUCAGUAAAGUCAAACAGCGAGCCACAGGUAUGUAUGAAUUCAGGGCCUUAGCAGAUCUAGUUGGGUCUGUAAAAAUAAAAAGAUACUAUGGUAGGAAGAAGAGAAAAGAAGUUUUAGUACUCUAAAUAAGUGGUUCUCUGUGUCUGGAAAUUGAAAAUUGAUUCAAGAAUUCAGCUAACGUACAUAAAAUAAAAAUAAUAUCGUUCAAAAUCAUGGUCUCCAAGGAAAUGCCAUCCUUAUAAAACCAUGGAUUAUUGACUGUAAGGUUUCUAUCCUGCGCUAGCCACUUUUCUUUAAAAGCUCAGGCUAGGUAUGUUUUGAAAAACAAAAGAUAUCCCUCAAUCCCAACCUGCUAACUUCCUAAUCCUUUUCCACAUUUUUCAAGUGCAAAUCUUGAAAUCACUUGACAGAGAGUUCAUUUGCAAGGUUCCUGAGUAAUGUGAGAGAAUAACAUUAUUUUUCCCUGUAAAUUCUUGAGAAUCAAAGUUAAUGAUUAUAUCCAAAUACAACUGGGAUUGCCACAUGGCGGCUGUUAGCAUUUGUUUUCUCUAUUUUCUCUUGGACCAUUGCACUUAUUUGGCAUUCACUAUUAUAAAAAAUAUUUAAUUGCAGUUAAGGGAAAACACACAUCGAGCCAGCCUAUUUUUGAGGUAACGGUAGUUGGUUCUCUAUGUUAUGCAUUUAUUCUCCUUCUGUUGCCUGUAUCGGAAUGUAAGAACAAGUGUCAUGGAGCUUCCGAGCAAAGGUAAACAAAUCCUUGAAUUGCCCACAGAGUUUGCCAAGUGCUGAGCAGCUGCUGUCGGGGGACAGAAUUACAGAAUGCAGUUAAACAGAAAUAGAAUAUUCAAAACAGGACAUGAGCAGCAGGGGCUAGUAAAAUAGGAAGAAAUAGCAAAUUCGACUUAAAAAGCUCUCUCCCUCUCCCUAGGGCUUGCAGUUUGCCGUCUUUUUCGAGGGUAGCUGUUGCCCUUGAAAUGCCCUCCUGUACACUGUGGUCCUCCAUUGUGAUUUUCCAAUGAGAACACUCACAGCACGGUCCGCCCCAGCACACCUAUCUUUAUUCUCUUCUCCCAGUGGUCAUUGGUGUCUUAGCUCCGUGCCUCACAAUUUUCAAGGCACUCAUUACAUUUUAACAUAAGUUGUGAGAGACAUGUAAUCUCAGCUCAGAGAAGAUACUCAAACAGAGGAGAAUGAUCAGAAAGAUGCUCGCUCUCUGCUGUCCACACCACUCAUUUUGCAAUUGACUCAUCAACCAGGACUAAAUUCCAGAUCUUACACUACUGUUUUCGAGCUUAUUUUCGUUUCUUUUCAUACUUCGUCUGGAGUGUACAUUUUGAUGUGCUGGACAGAUUGCUUGUUCAGGAUGAUGACAUUCAUACUACUGGCUAUGGGGAGUGCUGGCUGCAAAGGACUCACAGCUGAGCCUCCCUCGGGGGACCACCCUGGACCUGAAGGGAGCUGCUUCACCCAAGGUGACACCCCUCCCCAGGGAAACCUCCAUCCAAUGACUGGCCCACUGGAGGGGUACAAAGACCUCAUGUCCUCACUUCAAGGCAACUAUGAAAACUUAUUCUCACUCUAGCGUAUUCUGGGGAAUAGCCUGAACAGCUCUGUUGAAACUGCACUAUGGUUUGACUUCUCUCUGCCCAAUUCUGCUACUCUCAUUUCAUUACUGGUACUGUUCCUGAGAGCGCUCCCCAUAAGAUUGCUGCAAGCAAAUCUCCAAGUCAGGUUCUGUGACCUAAUAUAGUUUUCCAUGUAAACAUAUGCACUGGGAAGGCAGAGAUCGUGUUUUAUCUUUUUUUAUCUAGGCGAACCAGAAAAAUUUCCAGAUUCUUCUAGCAGUGCUGUGGUUAUGAGUUGCAAAUAACCCUUCUUAGGCUUACGUAACAGAACGUGACUACCUGCUUUUACCUGCUCAUACCAUUGAGUUGCUGAAAACCAGGAGAGAGGGAAGGAGGGAAGUCUCUCCUUCAUUGAUUAUGGUAUUUUUUAGUUUCUCCCCACAUGUAUCUGACUUGGACAUAGUGUUUUCCACCUGAGCUAUAUUCUCUACUUGUUCUUACGUGCCUACAGUUUUAUGUGUGUGUGUGUGUGUGUGUGUGUGUGUGUGUGUGUAUGUGUGUACAUGUAUAUAUUCAUAAUGUGUAGUAUGAAUCUCUACAUACUAGUAGUAGUUUGAAUGUAGUUUGAAUCUCUAUAUACUAUUUCCAAUCAUUUUGCUCAUGUUCUCUGCUUUGGAUUGACAUAUCCAGCCGGGGGUGUUGAAUAUCUAGAUUAAAUGGUACCACCUUUGGGGCUCCUGGGUGGCUCACUUGGUUAAGCGUCCAACUUCGGCUCAGGUCAUGAUCUCACGGUUUGUGGGUUUGAGCCCCACGUCGAGCUCUGUGCUGACAACUCAGAGCCUGAAGCCUGCUUCAGAUUCUGUGUCUCCUUCUCUCUAUGCCCCUCCCCUGCUCGCACUCUGCCUUUCUCCCUCUCAAAAAUAAUUAAAUAUUAAAAAAAAUUAUAAAAAAAUGGUACCACCUUGGAAUUCAGUGCCCUACAGAUAUCACUAACCAGUCGUGGCUCCCAACACUCUUACCCCAUUUCACAUUUGGCAGCCUCUGGUGCAGCCUCUGGUGCACACAAAUGCUCUGGCCCUUUUGGCAGAAUCCAGUUUUAACCCAGUCUUGGUCAUUUCCUCUUCUUAUACCUAGGAAAGCAGCUGUCUAGUUUCCUACCGUCCUUCAUGCAAGAUGGAGGCAGUAACUAUUUUCAAACUACAUCCAUCUUAUCUUUAGGAGCUAUUCCAAAUACUCUAGAAUUUGCUCCUUCUCUUGACUUUCCCAGGUGUCCUCUUUUGGAUAAUAAUCUGAGUCUCCCUCCUUCCAACCCAGGCUGCUGCUGACAGGGGCAGGCUGAGGCCACCUGGAGAGAGACAGAGGAAGAUUUUCCAUGAAAAUAUAAUGACAUAUAACCUUCAGCAGCUCUCAUCUUGUGCUUUCCAAAGCCCUGAGAGGACAUUUUUUUUUCCUUGUAAAGUUUCAAAAUUUAGACAUUCCAGGUAUAAUUUGUGAGGUCCUCUGCAUCUUCCCAAUGCUACUUUCCCUACAAAUGACUCCUCCUGUCACAUGGUGUUGGAAUGACCAUAGGCAUUGGAACUCAUUAAUGAAAAGUUGAAUUAAGGAUACACUUAAUUUGGGUCGGUGCUAUGUAUUUAUGUGAUUUGGAGCCACUUUCAUGUAUAGUGAAGUUAUUGCUAGCUAUGCUAAUUCAAGAAUAGCUUCCAGAAAUACUUAUUCAUCAGUGGGCAAAGCUGUAAGUGGAGAAUUUGGUUCUUAUCAGUGCCUCACCACAACAGAAAUGUUGUAGCAUUCACAGUAAUGAGACAUACAGAAGUUCUCAGGAGCCUUGCAUUUGCAGGGCACACACUGGUAGCAGUAGUGUAAACAGUACACGUGUGUGUGCAGUCACAUGUUUGAUGCAUCUUAAGCAUCGAUAAUAAAAAACAACUUUGGAUUGCCCACGAUAGAGGAAAAACAAAAUUAUCAUUUUAUUCUCUUUAUGUAAGAAUUGUAAAUACCACUAUCAUACAAAGAAGGAAAGAGCACACAGCUGAAAAACUAGGAAAAAGUCCUAUGAGGUAUAUCAGCAGUUAAUUAAGAAAAACAUGCUGUCUUGAUUUUGCGGUUUAUUUGUCAGCAUUUUAAAAUUUAUAAUUUUGUUGUAAUUCCUUUUCUCAUUGUAAAUAAACAGGUCUUCUUUAUUUAAUUUUAUAUUCAAAAUAUUGUAUUCUUCUGCUUGCAGAAUCCCCCACCCCAGAUGUAUGACUUUCAGGCCCCGUAAAUCCUGGGUCCACUCCUGGAAGACUCAGAAGCCUCUUUGCACAGUGGCUCCGUGUUCUGCAGGGACAGGAGUGUUUCCCACUGGGAGCCAAGUAAGCAUGGUUCCUUUCUUGUCAAUUCGGAACAUGAGCAUGAAAUUUUAGGGCAGAAAGGGACCAAAGAUAUAAUCUAGCAUAAUAUCGUUUUUCAGGUGAGGAAACUGAGGCUGAGAGUGAUCAUGGCUCUAUAAAGUCUCUAAGUCCUGUUUCAGCAGUGGACCUAUGGAAAAGUGUACAGGUAGUUGCCACAGUGUCCCAGGGCAAUGGACGUAACAUUCAACUUCUUGAGAGGGUGCUGACAGAGAAAGUUCCACAAAUUUAUUUCCACUUCUUCUCAGUCAGGCUGAGACUAAGGAGCAGAGGUGGACCCCUGGGUAAGGACAACGGCCUCUCUGGUGGGACACAGUGCUCCUCCGAAAAAGGAACUGAUGUUUUUAAGAAAUGAUAGAAGUUAAACUCGUCACCACUCCCAAGAAUUUAGUCUUUAAGACUUUGAUCUUUCGAUUAUGGGCAGACUCUUAUUUUAAGCACUGAGUUUACUGAGUGGUACGAUUAGUUCCCAAAUGGAAAACUGUAAUCUCACUCUUGAUAACCUCCACUGUUUAGCACUCUCACAUUUGUUUCAUUUGGCAUUUUUUUUUUCUUAUUUUCUGUCUCUCUCUGCACUCGCCCUUUGGAGUAGGUGGGUUAAUGUUACUACAUUGGUGAAAAAAUCUGAAGUUCAGUGUAGCUAGUAACAGGGGAGAACUAAGAUUAGAAAUAGGCCUCUUGAUCUUCUUUCUAGGGUUUUCUCUUUAUAUCAUCUGAUCUCCAGGAUUAACAAAAGAAUCCUUGUUUUAUUUACUUUCAUUAACUUGACAAAAGUAGAUCUAGCUUUAUGUAAGAACAGAUAAUUGCCAUCUCCUGUGAUUGAAAAGAGGUCAAUCUUUCCCUGAUGACAGGAUUCUACCAUCAAUAACUCUUUCCUUUUAUAUUCAGCUUUCACAACCUUUUAUCACAGAGGUACACCCGGGAGGAAAAUUUCCAAUGUCUUUGUGUGAAUGAAUUUGCAUGCUUUAUUUAUUUCUUAGUUAAGUCAAGCAAGGAAAGAAGGGGAGUAUCAUGACUUCCAUUUCCAAAAUAAAGAAAUCAUAAUUUUUUUGAGGGGGGAAAGGGGAAGAGAGAGAGGGAAAGAGAGAAUCUUAAGCAGGCUCAACACUCUGCACAGAGCUCAACGUGGGACUUGAACCCACGACCCUACGAUCAUGACCUGAGCCUAUCUAUAUCAAGAGUUGGACUCUUAACUGACUGAGCCACCCAGGCGCCCCCAUAAUUUUUGAUACACAUAAAUUGUUUGAGUUACUACAUUAUAAUUUUCUUGUAUUUUUCUUUAUCAUUGAACAUUCUAUAAUUGGAAGAACAUUUUAAUGGUCAUAUUGGUGAUUUUCAGAACGACAUCAUUUGAUCAAUGUAAAAAUCACUCAUUAUGUAAUGUUUCUGUCAUUAUAAAGAGUUUUUCUUCAAUUUUCAUUCAUGUCAAGAAUUUUCUUGUUAAUAGUUAUGGUCAUCAUGGCAACUCUCCUAUGUAUGAAUGUAAUGAGGUUACAAAGCACUGAUGCUUGCACAAUCUCAUUUGGACCU